UACGUAGGGGGCAAGCGUUGUCCGGAUUUAUUGGGCGUAAAGAGCGUGUAGGCGGCCAGGUAGGUCAGCUGUGAAAACUCGAGGCUCAACCUAGAGACGUCGGUUGAAACCACCUGGCUAGAGUCCGGAAGAGGAGAGUGGAAUUCCUGGUGUAGCGGUGAAAUGCGUAGAUAUCUGGAGGAACACCGGUGGCGAAGGCGGCAUCCUGGACCAACACUGACGCUGAUGAGCGAAAGCCAGGGGAGCAAACGGG
RNAcentral lists this ribosomal RNA (253 nucleotides) under uncultured bacterium. RNAcentral's name for it is "partial 16S ribosomal RNA". It matches the Rfam family "Bacterial small subunit ribosomal RNA", at positions 524 to 776 of the family's 1533-position model. The record is from RNAcentral.